GACGAACGCUGGCGGCGUGCUUAACACAUGCAAGUCGAACGGUAAGGCUCCAGCUUGCUGGGGUACACGAGUGGCGAACGGGUGAGUAACACGUGGGUGACCUGCCCUGCACUUCGGGAUAAGCCUGGGAAACUGGGUCUAAUACCGGAUAGGACCGCACCGUGAGGGUGUGGUGGAAAGUUUUUUCGGUGGGGGAUGGGCCCGCGGCCUAUCAGCUUGUUGGUGGGGUAAUGGCCUACCAAGGCGGCGACGGGUAGCCGGCCUGAGAGGGUGGACGGCCACAUUGGGACUGAGACACGGCACAGACUCCUACGGGAGGCAGCAGUGGGGAAUAUUGCACAAUGGGCGGAAGCCUGAUGCAGCGACGCCGCGUGGGGGAUGACGGCCUUCGGGUUGUAAACUCCUUUCACCAUCGACGAAGGGUUUCUGACGGUAGAUGGAGAAGAAGCACCGGCUAACUACGUG
RNAcentral lists this ribosomal RNA (465 nucleotides) under uncultured bacterium. Its description in RNAcentral is "partial 16S ribosomal RNA". It matches the Rfam family "Bacterial small subunit ribosomal RNA", at positions 28 to 507 of the family's 1533-position model. The record is from RNAcentral.